This 244-nucleotide long non-coding RNA is filed under the name Solanum tuberosum (potato). Its description in RNAcentral is "long non-coding RNA (STUB_LNC003531)". Lineage: Eukaryota; Viridiplantae; Streptophyta; Magnoliopsida; Solanales; Solanaceae. The record is from RNAcentral.
UUCCCUUAAAUAUUCUUCAACCAAACCUUCUUUUUCCUCAAUCUUUCCCUCCUCUUACAUCAAACCAAACUCACUUGUUAGUUAACUUGUUUUUCACUUUCUUUUUCUUUUUUAAAAAAAAUAAUAAUUAAAAAACAAGAAACAAGAAACAAGUGAUUAGCUAAGCUAGUAGAGGUUGCAAGCCAACCUCAUAGCUAUAAUCUUUCCUUUCGUUUUCCUCUAAAACUUUUUUUUUCUCUUUGCA